This 69-nucleotide transfer RNA is filed under the name chicken gut metagenome. It matches the Rfam family "tRNA". Rfam says of the family: Transfer RNA (tRNA) molecules are approximately 80 nucleotides in length. Their secondary structure includes four short double-helical elements and three loops (D, anti-codon, and T loops). The record is from RNAcentral.
CGGAUGUGGCCUAACGGUAUGGCAUCAGCUUCCCAAGCUGAGGGCUGCGGGUUCGAGCCCCGUCAUCCG